This 440-nucleotide ribosomal RNA is filed under the name uncultured bacterium. Its description in RNAcentral is "partial 16S ribosomal RNA". It matches the Rfam family "Bacterial small subunit ribosomal RNA", at positions 338 to 795 of the family's 1533-position model. The record is from RNAcentral.
CCUACGGGGGGCAGCAGUGGGGAAUAUUGCACAAUGGGGGAAACCCUGAUGCAGCGACGCCGCGUGAGCGAUGAAGUAUUUCGGUAUGUAAAGCUCUAUCAGCAGGGAAGAAAAUGACGGUACCUGACUAAGAAGCCCCGGCUAACUACGUGCCAGCAGCCGCGGUAAUACGUAGGGGGCAAGCGUUAUCCGGAUUUACUGGGUGUAAAGGGAGCGUAGACGGUCCUGCAAGCCAGAUGUGAAAGCCCGGGGCUCAACCCCGGGACUGCAUUUGGAACUGUAAGGCUAGAGUGGCGGAGAGGCAGGCGGAAUUCGUGGUGUAGCGGUGAAAUGCGUAGAUAUUAGGAGGAACUCCAGUGGCGAAGGCGGCCUGCUGGACGAUGACUGACGUUGAGGCUCGAAAGCGUGGGGAGCGAACAGGAUUAGAUACCCUUGUAGUC